AUUGAACGCUGGCGGCAUGCUUUACACAUGCAAGUCGAACGGCAGCGCGGGUUUCGGCCUGGCGGCGAGUGGCGAACUGGUGAGUAAUACAUCGGAACGUGCCCAGUAGUGGGGGAUAGCUCGGCGAAAGCCGGAUUAAUACCGCAUACGACCUGAGGGUGAAAGCGGGGGAUCUUCGGACCUCGCGCUAUUGGAGCGGCCGAUGGCAGAUUAGCUAGUUGGUGGGGUAAAGGCCUACCAAGGCGACGAUCUGUAGCUGGUCUGAGAGGACGACCAGCCACACUGGGACUGAGACACGGCCCAGACUCCUACGGGAGGCAGCAGUGGGGAAUUUUGGACAAUGGGCGAAAGCCUGAUCCAGCAAUGCCGCGUGUGUGAUGAAGGCCUUCGGGUUGUAAAGCACUUUUGGCGGGAACGAAAAGGACUGUGCCAAUACCACGGUUCGAUGACGGUACCCGCAGAAUAAGCACCGGCUAACUACGUG
This 484-nucleotide ribosomal RNA is filed under the name uncultured bacterium. RNAcentral describes it as "partial 16S ribosomal RNA". It matches the Rfam family "Bacterial small subunit ribosomal RNA", at positions 30 to 507 of the family's 1533-position model. The record is from RNAcentral.